RNAcentral lists this unclassified non-coding RNA (381 nucleotides) under uncultured bacterium. RNAcentral describes it as "contains 16S-23S intergenic spacer region". The record is from RNAcentral.
UCUCGGCUUAUCACCGGCAGUCCCCCUAGAGUGCCCAACUGAAUGAUGGCAACUAAGGGCGAGGGUUGCGCUCGUUGCGGGACUUAACCCAACAUCUCACGACACGAGCUGACGUCAGCCAUGCAGCACCUGAGCAGGAUGCCCUUGCGGGCUCAUUGCCCUUUCAGGUUUUUACUACCUGCUUGUCCAGCCUGGGUAAGGUUCUUCGCGUUGCGUCGAAUUAAACCACAUGCUCCGCUGCUUGUGCGGGCCCCCGUCAAUUCCUUUGAGUUUUAGCCUUGCGGCCGUACUCCCCAGGCGGGGCACUUACUGCGUUAGCGACGGCACGGGAGGAGUCGACACCUCCCACACCUAGUGCCCAUCGUUUACGGCGUGGACUAC